RNAcentral lists this long non-coding RNA (937 nucleotides) under Nicotiana benthamiana. Its description in RNAcentral is "long non-coding RNA (NBEN_LNC003922)". The record is from RNAcentral. Lineage: Eukaryota; Viridiplantae; Streptophyta; Magnoliopsida; Solanales; Solanaceae.
AGCACACUUUACUUGAACUCUUUUUUUGUUGGGGUUUUUGUGUGUGUGUGUGUUUGGGGGGUGAUAGGGAUAUAGGAGUAAACGAUAAAGUAGGCGUCCGCCUCUCUUCUUGUUUUAGGGCACUGUGGUGGUUGAUGCAAAAAGGACUUUCUUUCUCUACAAACAUAUAGUGUCGUUUCUCUCUCUCCGCCUCUCUUCGUGUUUUAGGACACCGUGGUGGUUGGUAUCCCGGCGACGGUUUUGAGGUUUUCUCAUAUAUUCAACUCUGCUCCGGCGAACAUUUUUGCUACUCAAAGCUCGCCGCCGACGACUUUCCUCCUGAAAUCGGUUUGCUUCUUCUUUUAAUCUAUUCUAUUUCCUUUUAGGCUUUUCCCUUUUUCUUUCAGUUCUGAAUUUCUCCUUCAUUCUUUUUUAUGAAUUAAACCAAACACUUAAUCCAAUUGCUUUCUCCCAAGUGCGUGGUUUUAACUAGGGUUUGAACGAAAAUCAUUUUAGUUUUUGGGUUUUUGUUUUUGAAAUUUGUUUAGUUCUUUCAUUGUUUUUCUGGCUUUUGUUGAAGAAUUAAGCUAGUGAAAUCUGCUGGUAGUUAUGGUUGAAACGUUUGUUUAGAUUAAAAGAAUUUUAUUUUCUUUCUCUUAAUUAUUUUGUAUUGAAAACGUGUGUUUCAAUUGUAUAUUCUGGUACGCACCAUUUGAAUUCAAGCAAAUUCAAAAUAAUAUACCAGAUCUGGUUUUCGCUCACUCACUCCACCGGUAACCAUUUAAUUGAUUAUUAUUGAUUUCUUGCUCGCUUUUUUCUCUUUCUGUUUUUCCUAUUCUCUCUUCUGCUUUUUGUGGGUGAGUGUGGGUGUGUUCUGUUUUGUUGGACAGGUGCAUUAUUUUUCCGGCGAGGAUUUCCGGCAAGCUACAGUACUUCCGGCGACUCCCGUUCAGAUUUU